This 47-nucleotide small nuclear RNA is filed under the name Cervus elaphus hippelaphus. Lineage: Eukaryota; Metazoa; Chordata; Mammalia; Artiodactyla; Cervidae. The record is from RNAcentral.
GUGCUCGCUUCGGCAGCACAUAUACUAAAAUUGGAACGAUACAGAGA